This 253-nucleotide ribosomal RNA is filed under the name uncultured bacterium. RNAcentral describes it as "partial 16S ribosomal RNA". It matches the Rfam family "Bacterial small subunit ribosomal RNA", at positions 524 to 776 of the family's 1533-position model. The record is from RNAcentral.
UACGUAGGGCGCAAGCGUUGUCCGGAAUUAUUGGGCGUAAAGAGCUCGUAGGCGGCUUGUCACGUCGGGUGUGAAAGCCCGGGGCUUAACCCCGGGUCUGCAUUCGAUACGGGCUAGCUAGAGUGUGGUAGGGGAGAUCGGAAUUCCUGGUGUAGCGGUGAAAUGCGCAGAUAUCAGGAGGAACACCGGUGGCGAAGGCGGCAUCCUGGACCGGCAUUGACGCUGAGGCGCGAAAGCCAGGGGAGCAAACGGG